Molecule: ribosomal RNA, 468 nt
Filed under: uncultured bacterium
Lineage: Bacteria
Description: partial 16S ribosomal RNA
Rfam family: Bacterial small subunit ribosomal RNA
Source: RNAcentral
GACGAACGCUGGCGGCGUGCUUAACACAUGCAAGUCGAACGGUGAUGCUCCAUCUUGCUGGAUUGGAUCAUUGGCGAACGGGUGAGUAACACGUGAGCAACCUGCCCCAGACUCUGGAAUAAGCGCUGGAAACGGCGUCUACUACUGGAUACUAAACUGGCCCGCAUGGGCAUUGUUUGUAAAGUUUUUCGGUUUGGGAUGGGCUCGCGGCCUAUGAGCUUGUUGGUGAGGUAAUUGCUCACCAAGGCGACGACGGGUAGCCGGCCUGAGAGGGCUACCGGCCACACUGGGACUGAGACACGGCCCAGACUCCUACGGGAGGCAGCAGUGGGGAAGAUUGCACAAUGGGCGAAAGCCAGAUGCAGCGACGCCGCGUGAGGGAUGACGGCCUUCGGGUUGUAAACAUAUUUCAGCAGGGAAGAAGCGAAAGUGACGGUACCUGCAGAAGAAGCACCGGCUAACUACGUG